RNAcentral lists this long non-coding RNA (1726 nucleotides) under Oreochromis niloticus (Nile tilapia). RNAcentral's name for it is "lncRNA (ENSONIG00000041905.1)". Lineage: Eukaryota; Metazoa; Chordata; Actinopteri; Cichliformes; Cichlidae. The record is from RNAcentral.
GCUUGUUGUACUGAGAUUUUAGGACUUUACAUACACCUCCUUGUAUAAUUCACAGUUUUUUGUGAUUAUAUAUUUGAACUGAAGGAUUUCUAUAAAUAAUCUUUUAUUCCCUCCUCUGUAGGCUCUCCUGCCUCCACAGACAUCAUUCAACGUCUCCAUCACUCGGUCUGGCUGUUCCACAGAUCUCAGCACUGUCCUGCAGGCUGAAGGAGCACAGAAAGGCAGUCUAAACCUGUCUCUAACUUGUGAUCCUCAGCUUAGUCUCCGGGCAUCUGUACAGCACUCUAUUGAGCCAAUAAAGAAGCUGCAGUUUCCUACCCACGGAGAGCUAUUCCUAAACGUCUCAACUGCCCUUCUGCCUGGUGUGGAGGUCGGCCUGGAGGUCGGACGUUGUUUUUUUAGGGGUAACGUAGGGAAAGUCAAGGCUUCACAGACAGAGACUGAGCAGACUUCUUACACUGUUAAUGUGAGCAGCUUCUGUCCUCCUCUGCAGGUGAGUAAAUCUGUCAGUUGUGUUUAAUACUGCUUGUUAAAACCUAAACUAAUAUGUUGAAGUUGUUGAAUCUCGCUGUCACCUUUAACUGUGGUGAUACAUACAUGUUUCUUUCAUCGCAGUUAGAAGAACUGGAAUUUCCUCUGUAACUCACUCAUGUUUAUGUUAACAUAGUCUCCUUUGAAAUACAGUUUCCAGCCCAUUAGAAGAUCAAACUUCACUUGUCAUAGAAGCAGAGCAGAACAACUCCACUGAUACAGCUACAAGCUUGUAAAGCUAUAAAAACAUUUUGAUGGGUAUUCGUCUCUCAGAAGUAAUGAUUAUGCUGCACCUGUGUUUGUGCCUUAGGAAAUGAAACUGCCUGUGUCCCUGGCUCUGCAGGGCCUACUCAAGGUUAUUCCUUGCCAGCUGACUCUGUCCGCCUCUGUGAGGGCAGAUAAUCAGAACCUCUCUUUAGACAUGAGCCAGUCCUGCAGGAGUCCAAACCUCUCUGGGGCCCUGACUCACUCCUUCCUCUGGCUGAGUGGUCAGGGUGUACCACAGAUCAUUUCUAUAGAUGGUAGUGCUCCUGAAGGCCCUGAACAGCCUGGAAGUCUAUUCAUCAAAGUUGGGACGUGUCACAUUAGAGCCACUCGAGUUAUGGAAACCAAAGGACGAAAAGAGUGGCUGCUGGCUCUGGAGUCUAUGUGCCCUCUGUUACAGGCUAAUAUAAAUGGCUCAGUGCAGCAGGAUACUCGGGGUAUCUGGACAGUCAUGCUGGGCACUGAUAUGGAGGGCAGAAGGGCUUUUCUGAGGCUUAAUGUAAGGGCCUGGCCAGAGCUCAGUGUGGAUGGUGAACUCAGCCAUGACCUUCCUGCCCUCAGAGAUCUGCCUAAAAACAGCAGACUGAGGCUAAGCAGCAGGUCAGGAAAACUACGAUUUGACGCCGAAGCCCUCGUUCAGAUGGAGGAGUGUGCCGUCACAGCCAGUGGAGCUGUGAUGUCCCAGCUGGGCCUGCAGGGGUCGCUGAUGUAUCACAACAACUGUACAAUGAUUCAGGAGUUGGGCAGUCCAGACAGGAUGCAGGCCUCUGGGUCCCUGGUUGUGUCCUCAACCUUUGCUGAAUCCCAGGUCUCAAUGGCGAUCGACAACGCCAGGUUGCAAACUUUAGUGUUGAUCAAUAAAACCAAGGUGUGGGAAUAUGUCAGAGAAAUUCAGAAAGUCCUGUCAGAAUUGCAUUUCAUUUUAUUGUGA